UAACCGGGUGUAUAGAACAUACAACUCUGAGCGGUGGAUCACUCGGCUCGUGUGUCGAUGAAGAGUGCAGCCAACUGUGUGAAUUAAUGUGACCUGCAUACUGCUUUGAACAUCGACCUCUUGAACGCAUAUUGCGGCCGCAGGAUAUCCUGUGGCCAC
RNAcentral lists this ribosomal RNA (159 nucleotides) under Clinostomum marginatum. Its description in RNAcentral is "5.8S ribosomal RNA". The stretch from base 23 to 159 matches the Rfam family "5.8S ribosomal RNA", at positions 1 to 138 of the family's 154-position model. From Rfam's summary of the family: 5.8S ribosomal RNA (5.8S rRNA) is a component of the large subunit of the eukaryotic ribosome. It is transcribed by RNA polymerase I as part of the 45S precursor that also contains 18S and 28S rRNA. The record is from RNAcentral. Lineage: Eukaryota; Metazoa; Platyhelminthes; Trematoda; Strigeidida; Clinostomidae.